RNAcentral lists this ribosomal RNA (465 nucleotides) under Vreelandella stevensii. RNAcentral's name for it is "partial 16S ribosomal RNA". It matches the Rfam family "Bacterial small subunit ribosomal RNA", at positions 338 to 795 of the family's 1533-position model. Lineage: Bacteria; Pseudomonadati; Pseudomonadota; Gammaproteobacteria; Oceanospirillales; Halomonadaceae. The record is from RNAcentral.
CCUACGGGGUGCAGCAGUGGGGAACAUUGGACAAUGGGCGAAAGCCUGAUCCAGCCAUGCCGCGUGUGUGAAGAAGGCCUUCGGGUUGUAAAGCACUUUCAGUGGGGAAGAAAGCCUUGGGGCUAAUACCCUCGAGGAAGGACAUCACCCACAGAAGAAGCACCGGCUAACUCCGUGCCAGCAGCCGCGGUAAUACGGAGGGUGCGAGCGUUAAUCGGAAUUACUGGGCGUAAAGCGCGCGUAGGCGGUCUGAUAAGCCGGUUGUGAAAGCCCCGGGCUCAACCUGGGAACGGCAUCCGGAACUGUCAGGCUAGAGUGCAGGAGAGGAAGGUAGAAUUCCCGGUGUAGCGGUGAAAUGCGUAGAGAUCGGGAGGAAUACCAGUGGCGAAGGCGGCCUUCUGGACUGACACUGACGCUGAGGUGCGAAAGCGUGGGUAGCAAACAGGAUUAGAUACCCGUGUAGUC